RNAcentral lists this ribosomal RNA (67 nucleotides) under Escherichia coli. RNAcentral's name for it is "partial 16S ribosomal RNA". It matches the Rfam family "Bacterial small subunit ribosomal RNA", at positions 1 to 65 of the family's 1533-position model. RNAcentral also lists the same sequence under 62 other names. The record is from RNAcentral. Lineage: Bacteria; Pseudomonadati; Pseudomonadota; Gammaproteobacteria; Enterobacterales; Enterobacteriaceae.
UUAAAUUGAAGAGUUUGAUCAUGGCUCAGAUUGAACGCUGGCGGCAGGCCUAACACAUGCAAGUCGA